AAGCUGAAUAAUCCCUUUCCUCCCCAACUUGCUUCUUGGUCAUGAUGUUUUGUGGAGGAAUAGAAACCCUGACUAAGACUCAUGAUGUAUAAACAACAUUGGGCAUAUAAGUAGCCAUACUAUACACUUAAGAAUCAUUACAAAAGCAUAUUGUGUGAUUUCAUUUUACCUCUAACCCAUGUUAAUAAAGCACAGAUUUUAUGUGUCAGGUUUCAGGAUUAGUAUAGUCUCUGAAAUGUUAUUUUAUAAUAGUAUCUGCACCACAGUACAAUAGUGUUUUGACCAAAUAGUCUGCACAACUGAGCUCUUAUUAAAUCAAAAUUUUCAUUUUAGCUGUGAAGCUUGUUUAUAUAUGAGCAUUGUAUGCAAUAUCAGGCAGUAUAGUUGAAAAUUUUAGUGUGUGAUUGGUAGAUAUAGCUGCUGAAAUAUACUUGGGUAAAUAUUGCUUGAGCAUCAUAAUUACUAAAUAUUAAAUUCAGCCACAGAACUAUGUCUGAGAUGGCUAAACAUAAAUAGAAGGAUUAAGAAGACUUUAAGAAAUACAGACACUAAGACUUUAAGAAAUACAGACAUUAUUAUAAAAUAGCACUUCAGAGACUAUUCAAAUGCUUUUCCAUGAAGCUUAUUAUUUCUGCAUUUACUUCAUUUCUUCUUACUAAAUGUACAAUUCCUCAUGACGUUGAGACACAACAAAAUUGGUGUGGUAAGAUAAGUUAUUAAAAUGUGAAUCAUGUUUCAAUCACAGGAUUUUCUGAAGCUUCCUCUUAAACAUUUAAGAAGCAAUACCUUUGUUUCCUUUGCCACAAGAAAAACAAAGUCCGUUUUAAAACACUCUAUAUUUAUAUCGCUUAAAAGCCACCUUUAUUAAGAAUCACAUGCUAUAUUCCUUAGGUGUGAGAAUGUGGAAGAAAAUAAUAGAAAACAAGGGGAAAUGAAGUAACAACCGAAAGAAGAAAGUUGAUUGUUUGUGUCACUUUGGACUUUGCAGGAACCCAAGAAUCAGCCAAGUAGAAAUGCCAGUGAGCUUGCUCCCUCCGUAGUGUUGUCAAUAUUUGAAGUUUUCUGAUGGUCUGCAUUUCCAAGCAUCACAACUUCCUGCCGCUAGAGCCUAGAAUCUCCAGGCAAUGUCCUUUGGCCUGUGCCUAGUCUAAAGCACAGACACCAACAGCCACACAUUAUAUGGAGCUCGGGAAGUCUUGUGGAAGAGUCUGGGGAAGGGUUGAGGGACCGGAAGAGGAUAGGAACUCCACAGGAAGACCAACAAUCAACUAACCUGGAAUCUUGGGGGCUCCCAGUGGCUGAAUCACCAACCAAAGAGCCAGCAUUGACUGGAUUUUGGCUCUAUGCACAUAUGCACAUAUGUACCAGAUGAGCAGCUGGGUCUUCAUGCAGGUUCCUCAACAACUGGAGUAGGGGCUGUCCCUUAAUCUGUUUCCUGACAGUGGAUCCUAUUCCCCCAACUGGGCUGCCCUCUCUGGCCUCAGAGGGAGAGUAUGUGCAGUUUUACAAAGACUUGAUGUGUUAGGGUGGAGUGAUACUAAGGGGGGGGGGGCUCUCCUUCUCAGAGGAAAAAGGGAGUAGCUGUAGGAGGGGCGCCAAGAGGAAAUGGAACAGAUAGUGGAUUUUAAAAUGAAUGAAUGAAUGAAUGAAUGAAUGAAAAAUUAAAGCAUAUUGAUGCGCAAUUCUUACUGAUUUCUUGAUGUUAUAAGCUAGAAUAAUAUGUUAAAGCAUGGUAAGUGGGGUAGCAUAGUGUCUGAUAAAUUUAAGACAUAAACCUUGUUUUUUAUUACC
This is a long non-coding RNA of Mastomys coucha (southern multimammate mouse), 1791 nucleotides long. RefSeq lists it as uncharacterized. The record is from RefSeq and is a predicted model, not a curated record. The transcript is spliced from 2 exons. NCBI's taxonomy places the organism in Eukaryota, Metazoa, Chordata, Mammalia, Rodentia, Muridae.